RNAcentral lists this transfer RNA (71 nucleotides) under Heniochus diphreutes (false moorish idol). Its description in RNAcentral is "tRNA-Gly". It matches the Rfam family "tRNA". Rfam says of the family: Transfer RNA (tRNA) molecules are approximately 80 nucleotides in length. Their secondary structure includes four short double-helical elements and three loops (D, anti-codon, and T loops). The record is from RNAcentral. Lineage: Eukaryota; Metazoa; Chordata; Actinopteri; Chaetodontiformes; Chaetodontidae.
AUCUUUCUAGUAUAAGGUAAAUAUACGUGACUUCCAAUCCCCUGAUCUCGGUUAAAAUCCGAGGAAAGAUA